This 426-nucleotide ribosomal RNA is filed under the name Triticum aestivum (bread wheat). RNAcentral's name for it is "partial small subunit ribosomal RNA". The record is from RNAcentral. Lineage: Eukaryota; Viridiplantae; Streptophyta; Magnoliopsida; Poales; Poaceae.
AUGGCCGAAACGAUUUUUGUUGGUGGGCUGAAACUGGGAGGUGCGGGUGCCCGGUGGUCGGAGGUGCGGGCACCCGGGGUGGUCCGGGGCAAACAGCCCGGGGGUGCGGGUGCCCGGGGGUUCGGGGUGCGGGCACCCGGGGUGGUCAGUGGGGUUGUACGGGGGUGUCCGGGUGCCCGGGGUUUGAGGUUCGGGUGCCCGGGGGUCACGGAUUUGGGCGGAAGUUCAUGGGAAAAUGGAAGAAAUUGGUGGAUUUCAUGGAGGGAAAGGUGGAGAUGGAUGGGGGGAAGGCUAGAUCCACUUGAAACCAAGCAAAUCCAUGGAUCAAAUCCAACAAAAUCUCAUCAAACCAACAAAUCACAAAAAAAAUUGGGGCUAUUUUUGGUGGGGAAUUUUCAAAAUUGGGGAAGAACACAACAAAAUUAG